CCUACGGGAGGCAGCAGUGGGGAAUAUUGCUCAAUGGGGGAAAGCCUGAUCCAGCGACGCCGCGUGAGUGAAGACGUAUUUCGGUAUGUAAAGCUCUUUCUGUCGGGAAGAAAAUGACGGUACGUGUUUACGAAGCCCCGGGUAACUACGUGCCAGCAUCCGCGGUAAUACGUCAGGGGGAAGCGUUAUCCGGAAUUACUGGGUGUAAAGGGGGCGUAGACGGAAGCACAAGUCUGGAGUGAAAUGCCUGGGCUUAACCCCGGAACUGCCUUGGAAACUGUGCGGCUAGAGUGGAGGAGAGGUAAGUGGAAUGCCUGGUGUAGCGGUGAAAUGCGUAGAUAUUAGGAGGAACACCAGUGGCGAAGGCGGCAUACUGGACUGUAACUGACGCUGAGGCUCGAAAGCGUGGGGAGCAAACAGGAUUAGAUACCCUAGUAGUC
This 440-nucleotide ribosomal RNA is filed under the name uncultured bacterium. RNAcentral describes it as "partial 16S ribosomal RNA". It matches the Rfam family "Bacterial small subunit ribosomal RNA", at positions 338 to 795 of the family's 1533-position model. The record is from RNAcentral.